This 9767-nucleotide long non-coding RNA is filed under the name Theobroma cacao (cacao). RNAcentral's name for it is "long non-coding RNA (TCAC_LNC005740)". The record is from RNAcentral. Lineage: Eukaryota; Viridiplantae; Streptophyta; Magnoliopsida; Malvales; Malvaceae.
UUGCCUACUACGAUAUGCCUCAAGCGUCUCAACUUGAAUAAAACAUCAGGAAUUCUUGGUACUUCAUUUAUGAGGUAUAAAGUGUGUAAAUUCUUCAACUUGCCAAUAGACCGUGGCAAGAUGAUGGUUCCACCAAAUCUUAACUUCAAAUACCUUAGAUGAUGUAGAUUACCAAUUUCACUUGACACAUUCCACUCGGGCCACACAUCAUUUCUCACAAGAUUUAAUACUCUUAAAAAUUUGAAAUCAUUGCAUUUUGAAAUGUGCAAUUUUAUCAAUUCUUCGUUCUGAAAGAGCAAAAGAGUGCGUAAAUUUGAAUGUUUUCCUUUCAAUGAAACAUACCUUUUGCUAGGAUGAAUAGCAAUUCUUCGUGCCAUAGAUGCUGUCAAAGUCACAUGAAGAGAAUUACCAUCACUUUCGUUCAAUGGUGGCUGAAUAAUUUUUAAGAAAUUCUCCUCUUGAGCUUUUUUCACUCACAAGUCCCUCAAGAGAUCAUGUACGUGACAUGUUUUUACACCUACUCCUGUAUGGUCUCUCUUACCAACUUGAACCAAACAUCUAUUUAUUAGCUGUUCCAGGAAUUGUUCAGCUACAUCCUCCAUCAACAUUUCCCCGCUUUCCCAUGAUGGUGAAAUGAAACCUUCAGCAAUCCAUAAUCGAAUGAGUUCCCUUUUUGAGAUCUCCCAAUCUUCUGGAUAAUGGCCAAGAUAUAAGAAGCACGGUUUUAAAUGAAAAGGCAACUCAGUGUAACUUAAACUCAAAAUCCCAUUCACUUUACCAUAAUCAUCUUGUAGUGGGAAAUUGUUUAAGCGUGCGUUGAUGUUUCUCUGGACCAUCUCCCACUCAGCCCUUGUCUUUUUGGUUGCUAGCAAGCCUCCCAACACAGCAAUUGCCAAAGGUAGACCUCCACAUCUUUUCACCAUCUCUCUUCCUGGCAUUUCCAAUGCUUCUGGACAAACAUGAGACUCUGUCUUGUUUUCUGGGAAUGCUUUCAUUCUAAAAAGCUUCCAACUUUCAUCAUCUGUAAGAAAUGAAAGUUCAGUUGGGGAGCUGCAAGGAUCAGCAUGUACCGCCACGUUCUUGUGGCGUGUUGUGAAUAAAAUUUUGCUCCCCUUUUUCCCUUUUGGAAAAGCAGGUUUAAAUUUAUCCCAAUCGUCGCUUUUCCAAAUAUCAUCCAACACUAUCAAAUAUCGUUUUUCUUUCAAGCCAUCAUAAAGCUUUUUCACCAACUGGGUCUCUACCAGUUUAUCAUCAUCUUGCUCUCGAGGGAGAAGUUUUAUGAGGAGAUCUUGCAAAACUUCUGUUGGCCUACAUUGUUGAGAUAUAAAAGCCCAGGCACAACAAUCAAAAUGUCGUUUCACAUCCAUAUGAUUAUAUACUUUUCUUGCAAGAGUGGUCUUACCAAUGCCCCCCAUGCCGACUACCGAAACAACGACAUGAAGUCUAUCUUCUUCUGUCAUCAACUGCUUCAAAACAUGCCUUGUGAUGCCCUCCAAGCUAACAACAUCCUCUUCUUCAACAUGUGAAUAUGUUCUCCUUAACCCCUGCUGCAUCUCGAAAACAGAGCGAGACCCCUCUGCUCCAGAUAUCCGAUUAUAAGCCAGAAGAUUCUUAGAAAUGCUUUCAAGCUUAGUCUGGAUUGCUUUGACCUCCACCCCGAUUUUGUGCAGACGAGAAGGCUUGGUGAAUCUCUUGAUGAAUCCACGAAAGCCUCCUUGAUGUGCGACUUGAAGAAUGAAGUCGUCAAUAACGUCUUCUGCUUCAUAAGCAAGAUCUCUUAUUUGACUCACCAAAGUGCAGGUAAGCUCAUCUUGGUCUUGCUUCCUGUCCGCAUCAAUCAAGGAGCUCUUCAUCCGCUGCAGUUCAGCCUUGAGGCCUUCCACUUCCUCACGAACUCCAUGCAGGAAAACAGCUUCAUGAAUGAGCAAAUCCGAUAUUCUUUCAAUAGCUAAGGACACAAUAGCCUCUGCCAUUUGCUCUUGCUGAUUCAAGUUACUUCUCUUUUCUAGGAUUUUAAACUGAUCCGCCUGUUUCUACUAUAAGUAUUCUUUUCUCCUUAUUUUUUUUGGGUUUCCGUAUUUCUAUUUCUCCUUAUCAAAAGGUAUGAAAGCGUGUUGUCUAUUUGACAUUGGACAAGAUGUGGGUGUUGUCUACACCCACAUCUUUUAAAAACUAAAAAAAAAAAAAAAAUCAGUGCAUAAAAGAUUUAAUAAAAUGAUUACUGUUUUUGUCAAGCUGAGAGGAAAUAUAGAGGAAGCUAACAUGAAGCAUGUUCCGAGUUCAAGAAGAUAUAUGUAUGUCCAGUAAAUUUUUUGUUAUUAGCACCAAAUCUUAAGCACUUAAUGUUUAUUUAAAUCCUUAAUUAUUCAUUUAAUGAUAUUUACCAUUAUCAUAUCAUUAAAAAUUGAAAUUAUGCGUUAAUCGUAGAAUUGAAUUUGCUACCAACACAAGUUGCCUCUUUCUUUGUUUAGGAUAAGCAAAUAAUUUAGAAGAGAAAGGCUGCAAAAAUAAGAUAGAAUGAAAUAUUAUUUCUUAUCCUCUGCACCAACAUAAGCAUUAAAUUGAAGCCUACAGAAUAACUUGGCAAAAAUGAGGCAAUGUUUGCCGGUAGAAAUUUCAAAACAUGAUGGCUUGAAUGUGGAUCUUCUCGUAUCUUCCCUUUUAAGAAUAGGUUUGUUAAUUUAUGUUCAAGCUAUUAAUAAUGCACCAACCCAGAAGAAAAACAGCCAAAUGGGUUAAAGUCAUAGAACAGAAAAACUGUAGCAUAAUUAAUAAGUAUUAUAUAUCAUCACUGAAUUUAUUAAUUUCUUUUGUAAAAAUAUUACGAUUUACAUUUAAAGUUACAUAUAUUUGUCUUUGGAUAAACACACAAUUAUUUUUGGCAUAUGAUUAGCUUAACACUUGUGUUUUAUACGCCAACUAAGGUGAGAUUAGGGAAACCAAGUCCUCAUCUAGCUUAAUGGCAGUUACUAGGUAGUUUUUGUAAUGAACCACUUCAAAGUAAUAUAAUUACAUAUAUUUAUCAUUAAAUUAAAUAUUCAGGUUUUUUUAAAAAAAAAAUUAGAAUCUAAAUGGUGAAUGCAAAAGAAAAAGCUCUUUUCUUUGUAACUUCUUUCCCUCCAAUUUUGUGGUGUAUGCUAUUGUAGUGUGGGCUACUCCCACUGCUAUUACAGGAAAAAGCAACGAAAAAGAUCAAUCAAGAGUCUUGAAAACACAAAGAGACAUUGCCUCACUAGGAAUGAAGAGGAGAUGAAGUGAUACUCAUGAUUCAUCUCAAGAAAUCACCCAUAAUUAGAUGCAAAGGAACCAUUUCUACAAGGACCUAGUCAAUCAAAGGGGGAGGAGAGAAGAAACUAGUAAGCAUUAAGGCCUACAACAUAACAUAUAAAGCUUAAAUGGUAUGAUAUGAUUAUAUAACAUAUCAAAAUGCCAGUAAUCAAUUUCAAAGCUAUACAUCAUUGAAAAAAGACUGAUACAUUAAUUCAUCUCAAAGCUUACAGUAUCAGCUGUAGCUGGGUACUUGAACUUGCCUAAAUUGACAAGACACAGGCGGUUGGGAGAGAAAGAAAGAAGGGAGCAGAAAUGACAAAUCCGGGUAUUCUUUGUUAGGGUCAAGUACAAAACCCAACAUUAGGAAAAAGAUAAAAGAAGAAAGAAUUGUUUUAUAUCAAGACUGAGAAAGGCCAACUGAUUUGGUACAAUCCCAUGAUCCAAAUCAUUAAUCCCAGGGAGAUGUUUUAUGUAUAAUUCAUUUAAAAUAUUUAUGUAAUUAUUACAUAAUAAUAUUAUUAAAAAAUCACAGCAAUAAUGAUAUAACUAUAGUGAAUAAAAAAAUAUUAAAUUAAUGAUAAUUACUUGUGGAUCUUAAUUAUGAAUAAAUUGAAUCAAAAUUUUUAAACAAUAUGCUUAUAUAUUAACAUAUUUUAUUAGUAACACGGAUAUUAAUUUACGUUAAGAUAUAGAAACAAAUAUAAAUAUUUUAGUUUAUUUUCUUUAUCUAAUUCCAGAUCUUACUUUCAUCGUGGUAACUCCGGCUGGCGUUAAUUAAUUAUAUAUACCUAAACCAAAAAGUCCUGAAAGUGACAGCUUUGGCAACACAGACAGCACGGAGAAGUUGCCUCGCAUGGGGAGCACAUAGGGGGCUUCCCAUGUGCAUGUGCAUGUGCAUAAUUAAUUAUAUAAACUUUAGUCAAUAUUUAUGAUUCCCAUGUAUCAUUGAAUAACUCAAUUGCCUUUGGAUUUACUUUAUUUGCAGCACAAAUUAAGCAAAAACCCAAAGCUUCAAUAACACAAAACAAUGUGGAAAUUCUGCCCUUGAAUCUUUUGUUUAAUCUUCUGGAUAAGCAAUUCCCAUGUACCAUUCACAAGUUGCCUCUUUCUUUAAUCUUUUGUUUGUUUUUUUUUUUCUUUGGAUAAGCAAAUUAUUUAGAAGAGAAAGGUAGCAAAGAUAACAAGAAAUAUAUACUUCCAGCUUAAGUUAACCAACGACCUCCUACAUUUUCCACUAGACAUGGACAACUAACUAUAUAAUAAGUAAAGAAAAAUAACAUUUUAAAGUUGAAUAUAGUUAAUUAAUAGGCUAUCCAAUAGAGUAUCUCAAUUUCAUUGCCCAAGUAUUCACACGUAUAAUAAACAAUAGAAGACGAAACUAAAUGAUUUUCUUUUUUUUUUUUUGUGUAAAAAUUGUUAACAGAGUCUAAAAACUCUUACAACCAAAUCUCAAAAAACUCUUAUUCAUUCAUAUUCUAAUAAAUUAAAUGAUAGGAAGCAUAUAUUAUUUUUUGUUGAUUCAAGCAUUAAUUCAUACAUUCCUUGAGGCGGUACAAUAUAAAUCACAUCCUGAAUUUUAGCUACUACAAGGAAACUCAAUCUGAGUCUUGAGCCGAGAAUAGAGAGAUAGCAAGCAAAAUUGCUUGAGCAUUUUUACUAUGUCACUACUAUCUUAUCUUUUACAAUUUGUAACCUGCAGAUAGGAUCUUCAUAUAAAUUACACUUGUCAAAGAAUGAGAAAUCAUAAUGUACAAUAUUUUUUAAUUAUAUUAUAUUUUUCAUGAUUAUUGUUCAUUAAAUGAUAUUUACGCAUUAUCGUACCAUCAAAAAAUCAAAUUACAUUCUUGUGUCAUGAAAGAUCUAUUUCGUAUUUCUUUUAUCAAAUAAUUUGUUUUAUUUGAAAGAAACUCAAACCUAACUCUUUGAAAUACAUAUAUUUAAUGUUAAGCCAAAAGUUUGGAUAUUCUUUUAGAAAAAGUUAGGGCUCUAAGCAUGUUUUUUUACUAAUGCAAAAGCCAAACCAUUUUUCCUUGUAUUUCUUUGCCACAAACUAUAUCAUGUAUGCUUAGUGUAGAGUGGGGCUACUCCCACUUCUUUUAAAAAAGAAUAUUGUGUUCUGUGAAACCGAGAGGAAAUUUGGAGGAAGCUAAGCUAACAUGAAACAUGUUCCAAGUAUUAUUAUUUUAUACAACAUUAGUGAUCAUGAUUGUAGUGCGGGCUACUUCCAUUUGUUUUUUUUUUUUAAAUAAUAAUAUGGUCAAAAUAGAAGAUUAAAUUAAAAAAAAAAAACUAAGUUUUUGCAAACCGAAGGAAAUUUGGAGGAAGCUAAGCUAACAUGAAACAUGUUCCAAGUAUUAUUAUUUUAUACCCAUUAGUGAUCAUNUAAUAAUAUGGUCAAAAUAGAAGAUUAAAUUAAAAAAAAAAAACUAGUUUUUGUCAAACCGAAGGAAAUUUGGAGGAAGCUAAGCUAACAUGAAACAUGUUCCAAGUAUUAUUAUUUUAUACCCAUUAGUGAUCAUGAUUGUAGUGCGGGCUACUCCCAUUUCUUUUUUUUUUUUUUAAAGAUAAUAUGGCCAAAAUAGAAGAUUAAAUUAAAAAGAAUACAAGCUCUUGUGAAACCAAAAGGAAAUUUGGAGAAAGCUAACAUGAAACAUUUUCCAAGUACGAUUAUUUUAUAUACCGUUAGUGGUCAUGAUUGUAGUGUGGGCUGCUCCCACUUUAUAUAUAUUUUUUUUUUAAAAUCAAUAUUAUGGUCAACAUAGAAUAUUAAAUUAAAAAGAAUACUAGUUUUUGUGAAACUGAGAGGAAAUUUGGAGGAAGCUAACACGAAACGUCUUCCAAGCUACUCCCACUUCUUUUUUUUAAAAAAAAAAUCAACAAUAUAACCAAAAUAGAGGAUUAAAUUAAAAAGAAUACCAGUUUUUGUGAAGCCAAGAGUAAAUUUGGAGGAAGCUAAGCUAACAUGAAACAUGUUCCAAGUAUUAUUAUUUUAUGCACUAUUAGUGGACAUGAUUGUAGUAUAUAUUUUUAAAAAAAAAUCAAUAAUAUGGCCGACUUAGAAGAUUAAAUAAAAAUCAAUAAUAUGGCCGACUUAGAAGAUUAAAUAAAAAUCAAUAAUAUGGUCAAAAAUAUUAGUGACAAAUAAAUAGACAAAUCUAAUAAGUUUCUCUUUUUGAUGUAAAAAUUGUUAAAAAAGUCUAAAACUCGAACCAAAUGCAAAACACUCUUAUUCACUCAUACACUAAAUAAAUUAAAUGAUAAGGAGAAUCAUAUAUCAUUUCUAUUUAGAUUAAAAAAAUGAAAGACAGAACUCUAAUACGAGAAAACGUAGUGUAAGAAAUGAAUCUUUUUGAGCCUAGCUAGCUGUCUCUAGAGUUGUAAAAAUAAUGAGAAAUCAUAAUGUAAGAAAUUAAUCAUGUAUUAUUCAUAAUUAUUGUUCAUUUAACAAUAUUUACCCGUUAUUAUCUCACUAAGAAAUGAGAUUAUGCGUUAUCACAUUAUAAAAUAUUUAUUCCGCGUUUCUUUUGUCAAAUGAUUUUUUUACAUGGAGAAAAGAGAAUUAAUUCAUACCUAAUUAUUUUAAUAAAAAUACAUAUAUUUAUUAUUAAAUUAAAUAUUCAAAAAUUAUUUUGUCAAAAGUUAGGGCUGCGUGCUUUUGGGUGAAAGUAAAAGCAGAAGCUACUUUCCCUGUGCCUUCUUUUUCCACCAAUUUUCUCACAUAUGCUAUUAUAGUGCGGGCUAGCUAACUACUCCCACUUCUUUUUAAAAGGGAGGAGAAAAAGAUCAAUAAUGUCUGACCCACAUGGAAGAUUAAAUAUAAAUGAUUACUGUUUUUGUCAAAUCGAGAGGAAAAUUAGGAGGAACUUAAUCUGAAAUGUGUUAGCAUUGAUUUAAAACCUUCAUUUAUUUGUUUACUUUGGGACUAUGUCAAAUGGUGAAGGCAUCCAUGCAUGAAGAAGCUCUAUAUUUUGCUUUGAUUUAAUAUAUAGUUUUCUUGGGUUAUGAUAGAUGGUUCCUCUUCAUUUAUUCAUUUCAGAAGUCUAUUCAUGGAGAUAUGAGGAACCCUCGUAUUGAAAUUUUAUUUGUAGCAAUUAACAAAGGACAGUUAAUUGAAUACCAUUUACUCUGUUUUAAGAAGGUCCAAUCCUCAAUCUUUAACAAUUUUUGACUUCCACAAAAAAGGCCAUAAAAAUUAUGUAAAUUUUAUUUAAUUAAAAUUAAGUCUUUUUUAGUAUUUAAUCCUGAACUUACAUAAUUUAGUCUCAGUUUCUUCUAUCUUUUUCAAUUGUCUUUGGAUUUACUUCACUUCAUUUGCAGCACAAAAUAGAAAUCAAUCCCUCGAAUAAGAUUGAUGAUAAUUAACAAAUUAAAGAUGAGAUCAUCAAGUGGGGUAUAAUUAAUGAUAAUUAACAAAGCACUAAGACUUCAAAUUAGCAUCGCUGCAUAUGAAAGUGACAGCUUUGGCACCACAGACAGCAUGGAGAAGUUGCCUCCCUCUAGAAAAGACAAUGAACCAAAGGCUGCUGUUUAAUUUUCACGUGAGUAUUCUCAGCGCUAAUUUGUGGAAUCGUUUGACAAAUGGAAAUGUCCCGUGUGAUGAGCUCCAUUCUAGAGAACCAAGCCGAGCUGAUGAAAGAGGUUCAGUCUCUCCCGAAAGAAAAUCAGCAGCUUCGUCAAUUGCUUUGAGUACAAAUGCGCAAAUGUGAGGCUAAGAGAUUGGUCUUUGUGACAUGUAUAGAAAUGCUUCUCAGUUGAUUGAAAAAUGAAACUUCUAAUUUCUACCAGAGUUAUCUCCGUACAUCGAGUUCCCUAUUUCAACUUGCAUGAUAGAUAACAUAAAUCUUCUAUGAAUCCUUCUGAUUAUUUUGUUUUCCCUUUCGUCAUCUUAUUUUGCGCACUAAUAUCGUCAAAAUUUUAACAUAAUAUAAGCAGCAUUUUAGAUAAUUAAAGAAGCAGAAAAAGCAAAGACUCUUCCUCUAUGUUAUCUCAUAAGGUAGGAAUCCUAUAUCUAACAAGAAAGAGUUGACAAGCAGCUGCUUUCUUAGAAUUUCCAGUUUCACCAAGCCCUCUUGCUGUCUCAUUGAGAGUGGAGAAAAUAGGAACAAAAUCAAAAAACAGAACUUUGACUAGCUUUUGCCUUUUAAGUGCUAGCAAACAAAUGGAUAAUGUUCACUUGUGAAAAUCUAAAAUUUAUUAACAAUUGAUUCAUUCAAACUCAGCAAUUUAUUUCCAAAAAUACAACUUAAACUUUCAAACAAUCAAAAAGCAAAAAAUACAAAUUCAACUUUCAAACAAUUGAAAAACAAAUCCAGGUGAUCCCCCAUGUUGCUCUUAUUGGCAUAGUACAUUUCUGAGCCAAUUAGAUUUACCUACACCAAGAAGAAAAUGGCAUCAUCUCUCAUGAAAAGGAUAGACCCAAAUAAAAAAAAAAAUUAUCAUAUAAAUAUCUAACUCACCUCCAACUACUAGGACUUGAGGAUUUGACUUUGCAAAACGAGAGCUUUCAAUCUUCCAACGUACAAUCUAUUUGGAUGGAGGGUAUGUGGCGCACAUUAGAGAAAUCCUCUCCUUCUCUGCCAUCUAUCACUUGAAUCCUCUCUACCAAUGAACUCUUCAAAGAGGAUAAUUUCAUUUCUUGGAGAGCAGUAAUGUACCUCAACCCUUCUGGAAAACUCCUCAAAUUUGGAACUACAGACAGACUUAAACUCCGGAGACAUGGCAUUGCGCCUUUUUCUAUCUGCCACUUUUCUAAUUCUUGUAACGCCACAAUAACAAGACAAUCAAGUUGAAGAAACUCGUUGGCAGAGCAAACUAGUUUAGUCCCCUUAUAUGAGGAAGUCCAUAAUCGGAGAGUCCUCAAAUGAGGCAGCUUUCCCAAUGCAGCCAUUGGAUCCUGCUUCAUCUCACAUUCCCACAAUGUCAACUUGGCAAUGUUUGCUGGCAAAAUUUUCAAACUAUGAUGGCUCAAAUGUGGAUCUUCUCGUAUCUUCCCUCUUAAUAAUAGUUUUGAUAGGUGAUGGCAACGAGAAAGGGGUUCCAAGUCUGGGUAUGGGAUUGAAUCCUCUAACCACAUGUACAAUGACUCAAGGCGUUGUGAUUGAAUCAAUGCUUUUAGGAUAAGCUCCACAUCUUUUGAUCUCUCAAAACUUAUUCCUAAACUCCCAAUAUUAGUCAAGUCGAGCACUGCAUUAUUUUCAAUUAAACUCUUACUCCUUAUGUACUUUAAAGUUUCAAUAUUUUUUAAAGUAUCCCUCAGCAACAAAGGCUCAUAAACAUAAAUAUCACCUACUACAAUAUGCCUUAAACGUCUCAACUUGAAUAAAACAUCAGGAAUUCUUGAUACUUGAUAUCGGAGGUAUAAAGUGUGUAAAUUCUUCAACUUGCCAAUAGACCGUGGCAAGAUGAUGGUUCCAGCAGAUCUUAACCUCAAAUACCUCAAAUGAUAUAGAUUACCAAUUUCACUUGACACAUGCCACUUGGACAGCAUAUCAUUUCUC